This is a long non-coding RNA of Thalassophryne amazonica, 216 nucleotides long. RefSeq lists it as uncharacterized. The record is from RefSeq and is a predicted model, not a curated record. The transcript has 2 exons. NCBI's taxonomy places the organism in Eukaryota, Metazoa, Chordata, Actinopteri, Batrachoidiformes, Batrachoididae.
AAAAAGGUUGAAUCAAAUAGAAACUUGGGGUGUCUCAGAAAUUUCAACCUAAAUUUGGCUCUUUAACCCCAUAGGUUUUAGAUGUUACCAUAGUAGUACCUCGCAAAUACUUUGACCACAAAGUUAAAACUAUACAACCAGCAGUUCCUGAGAUAUGAAAUAAUGUCCACAAAAGCACAAAUGGAGGGACAGACAGACAAACAGACUACAUAAAAA